AAGCUCUCUGGUCAUGACUGUGAGGCGACAGAAGAGAGACGGAACCAGGACUGACAACAACGCAAGCCUGAGAGGGUUUCCAAGAGCAAACUUGAGUGUGUGUGGACAUCAUCAGCCACAAUGAGCAUUCUCAAGGUGCUCACUGUUGCCCUUGUGCUAUUUGGAACCAGCAGUCUUUCUGCUAAAAUAAAGAGACAACUGCCAUCAAAUUCAUUUUUUACUCCAAAUGACCACAGUCCACCUGG
Molecule: long non-coding RNA, 245 nt
Organism: Hippocampus comes (tiger tail seahorse)
Lineage: Eukaryota; Metazoa; Chordata; Actinopteri; Syngnathiformes; Syngnathidae
Exons: 3
Source: RefSeq, a predicted model, not a curated record